AGGGCUUGGUCAGCUCUGUUUUUCUAAAUCCGGCCCAAGUCAGGAGCAUCUGCCAGGAGGGAGAGGUUUGCCCUAAGCCUAUGGUUUGAAUAACUCUUUGCAGCUUUUCUCCUCUCCCAGGCACAUGAGGAGUGGGAAGGACGUCUCUAACCACUGGAUGCUGCCUCCUGCAAAGACCAUGGCAGCGUGUGGCUGUCAGCACACAGCAGACUCUGGGCUCGCUGCCUUCGGUCCAGCACCAAAUCAAAGCCUCCUCGCUUUGGGAUGAUCUUUCCCAUGGCACAUGGAGUGCAGAAACGUCCUGCUUUUACCACCAAAGGAGAGGAAAACAGGCAGUGGGCUGAGGCAUGGGUGAAGUACUGAGUUCACCUCUCUGCAGUCCAGCCAGGUACACAUUGCUUUUUUCUCCCAGAACUUAAUUAAAACACAUCUUUCCUCACAUCGUUAUGAUGCUCAAUGGCAAAUAUCGGUCACUCUCUAAUUACACCAAAAUUAACUUGUUUUCAUGGCUGAAGGGGACAGACCCAAAGGCAAUAUUGUUCCUCUGCACUGGGUUACUCUGGGAUGCGCUAUCUCCAGCAAGCAGGUAGAAACCCAGGGUUUAUAAUCUGGACCAGCACUCCCAUGGGCUGGACUGUGCUGAUGACAUCAGACUUGUCCAAUGGCAGACACACACAUUGGGCUGGGCUGGAUGAUAAAUCACAGCUGAUGCUUUUCCUGCUCUGUUUUGCUGGCAUAGGCACUGGUCUCAUGGGCCUUAUUGACUCCUGGCUGGAGGAGCAGCCCAUCAGCCAUGGUUUGCUGCCUCCUCAGAGCCCUCUCCUGUCGGCACCCUUCCUGGUGUGCCCAGGGCUCACUGAGGAAAGAGGAAAGCAAAAAUCCAAGCAAGUUUGAUUGAAUAUUGAGUUAAGUUUCUUUACCCAGACACAAAAUUGGACAUGUUGAGCCACAGCAGGGGCCCUCUUGGUGCAACAGAAUAGUCUGUCCUACAAAAGAAACCACCAGCUCCACUGUGGAUGUGAAGUUCCCAAUGGAAACAGGCACACUGUGAUCCUAUAGCCUUCCACUCUGCUGUGAUUUCAGUUACAACCAGACCUAUUCUCAUCCCAAUUCAGUUGGCCAUUGGCAUCAGCUGUUGCUGGUGAGUGAGGCUGGAUGCUGUGCCUCAUAGAGGGGUGAUGCAGUUCUAGAAAUGUAUUUAUGCUCCUUUGUGACACCCAUCCAGCUUGGUUGGAUCCUGCAGGGUUUUGGUUAUGAAAUGACUAUUUUCACAGUGAUGUUUUCCAAAUUCAGUUCUUCUUAAUAUGGAUUUAGUUUUUACUAGUGUCAAUUUUGCAGUAUUGUGUUCUGCUUGAAAUUACUGCUGCUCUAAUGUGCCAGAGAUCAGGAUGUUUUGUUCCAUUUUCUUGUCUAAACCUGACCAGUCCCAUGAAAUCAAAAUCUAACCUGUUAUACUCGGGUAUCUCAAAUUGCACUGCAUACAUGGGAAAUGAAUGCAUUUAGAUGUGUUGCCAG
Neopsephotus bourkii (Bourke's parrot) is the source of this 1515-nucleotide long non-coding RNA. RefSeq lists it as uncharacterized. NCBI's taxonomy places the organism in Eukaryota, Metazoa, Chordata, Aves, Psittaciformes, Psittacidae. The transcript is spliced from 2 exons. The record is from RefSeq and is a predicted model, not a curated record.